Molecule: RNA transcript, 987 nt
Organism: Mangifera indica (mango)
Lineage: Eukaryota; Viridiplantae; Streptophyta; Magnoliopsida; Sapindales; Anacardiaceae
Gene name: UPF0235 protein C15orf40 homolog
Exons: 4
Source: RefSeq, a predicted model, not a curated record
GAGAGUAAUCAAGUAAGUGUAGGCAAACCGUCUCAAGGCUGAGCAUGCACCGGCCAUGGGCUGGUAUUUUUUUGGGGCCGUGACGGCCCACCUCUAUUGCUCAACGUUGAGCACUCAUCGCGCUAAACAUUCCCCGUUGCCAAACUGGACGGACCGAUAUGGCGCCAGCGAAAAAAGGCAAAGCGAAGGCGAAAUUGGACGAGUCAACUCAGUCCUUGCAAGCCUCCGCUAACAAAACUCAAAACGACAAUUUCCCUUCAUGUUUUCGCUUCGUUUCUUCCACCUCGGUGGCCAUCACCAUCCACGCCAAGCCGGGCUCCAAAGUCUCCUCUAUUACAGAUGUGAGUGAUGAGGCUGUGGGAGUGCAAAUUGACGCGCCGGCGAAGGACGGCGAAGCGAACGCGGCACUUCUCGAGUACAUCAGCUCGGGUUUAGGGGUGAAAAGGAGGCAAGUGUCUAUAGGUUCUGGAUUUAAAUCAAGGGUAAAAAUUGUGGUUGUCGAAGAGGUUACUCCACAAAAUGUUUUUAAUGCUUUGGACAAAGCGUCAAAGUCCUAAACUAAAAGGUGAAAUAAUAGAUGUGCAUCUGUUUGCUUGAAUUCCUUUCUUCAUCCCAACAAAAGCUGGAUAAUCGGGAUGAUUCAUUCAGCAGUUGACUCUGAAAUAUUGGCAUGAUGAAGAUUAGGAUGCUUCAGAACAGAAGCUUCGUCUGCAGCUAUCUGAAACGUCUCUUUCAACCAUCAUAUAAUAGAAUUUUGCUGUUGGUGCAAAUGCUAUUAUAUGUGCAAACUUGAUUCCUGUAAAUGAGGGUUCCAACUGUCAAAAUAGUGAGUGUAAAAGAAGUCAGUGAAACACUGGCAAUUAAAAUAUCUGCUUGAUGCUCUUUUUUGCUUCCUUUAUUGGCAGCUUCUCCUUUGGUGGCAAAUGCAGAUGUUGAAUUACCUGCUUUGAUUAUGAUAUAGUUUGAAUUUCCCUAUUGUCAUGGUCC